UCACCGGGAAUUCUGUGGUGA
Molecule: microRNA, 21 nt
Filed under: Heligmosomoides polygyrus
Lineage: Eukaryota; Metazoa; Nematoda; Chromadorea; Rhabditida; Heligmosomidae
Description: hpo-miR-40h-3p
Gene: hpo-miR-40h-3p
Source: miRBase by way of RNAcentral